Molecule: ribosomal RNA, 253 nt
Filed under: uncultured bacterium
Lineage: Bacteria
Description: partial 16S ribosomal RNA
Rfam family: Bacterial small subunit ribosomal RNA
Source: RNAcentral
UACGUAGGGUGCAAGCGUUAAUCGGAAUUACUGGGCGUAAAGCGUGCGUAGGCGGUUUUGUAAGUUUGUCGUGAAAGCCCCGGGCUCAACCUGGGAAUUGCGAUGAAGACUGCAAGGCUUGAAUCUGGCAGAGGGGGGUAGAAUUCCACGUGUAGCAGUGAAAUGCGUAGAGAUGUGGAGGAACACCGAUGGCGAAGGCAGCCCCCUGGGUCAAGAUUGACGCUCAUGCACGAAAGCGUGGGGAGCAAACAGG